CUGCAGGUCGUCCAGACGAUCGAGCAAAUCAGCCGCCUGCCAUGAAAACUCCUCCACCGCCAGCCGGGUUUCCAACCAGUUUGAGUGAUCGUAGCUGAGCGUGCCUUCGAGAUCGGAGCGGGCGCGGUCGAUUACUGCCGUGAGAAAUCGCCCAAGAAGAAAGAAACAACUACAAAGCAGAUGAUGCAGAAACAAUUCCUAGAUUUCCCACAGAACCUAUCGAUAACUUACACUUCCCCGGCCCAGUUGUUAAAUAAAUGUAUCGUAUUUCAA
Dalotia coriaria is the source of this 273-nucleotide long non-coding RNA. RefSeq lists it as uncharacterized. The transcript is spliced from 2 exons. Lineage: Eukaryota; Metazoa; Arthropoda; Insecta; Coleoptera; Staphylinidae. The record is from RefSeq and is a predicted model, not a curated record.